Malus domestica (apple) is the source of this 1124-nucleotide non-coding RNA. The record is from RefSeq and is a predicted model, not a curated record. Lineage: Eukaryota; Viridiplantae; Streptophyta; Magnoliopsida; Rosales; Rosaceae.
AAAUUUGUCGGCACUCCUGUCCGGACGAAAUAUUUGAAUUAUCGGCUAGAAACUAAUAGAUUUAAGCAGACAAAUAAAUAGUAGUAGGUUUAGCCGAAGAAAUAUCUAUUAGUUGAUCGAGAAUAUCGUCGGUACAUUUUAUUAAAAAAGGCGGGAUGUUUCCCUCUCUUAAAAGUUAAUGUUUUUCAAGUGCUGGGAAAACGAAAAAAAAAAAGAUAAAACUGUUGGUUUUUAGAGCUUAUCAACUAUCGCAACCUAGUGAAAAAAAUUUAAUCUAAACAAGGAAAAAUAACAAUGUUGCCGCACCCUGGAUUUGGAUCCCAUUGCUAUCUCCCUUCUUAGUUGCUCUUCUUGGAUUGACCAUCCUAGCAGUGAUUCUCGUCUACCACCAUGUCAGCUGCUCUCCGUUGCUGGUGCAGUUUCGCUAUCGGUUCUUUGUACGAUUCUCUCUAUCGAUUUUAAAGAUUUUGGUUGUGGUUUGGGUUCUUAUUUUGUUUUACAUAGAUGGGGCUUGACUGUGGUUUAAGUUUUGUUUGAUAUAUUCCCUGCACAUUGCAAAAUUAUGGUACUAUUUUGGGGGUUUUGGUGUGCAAGUCCUUUGAUUGGCUUAUAUGUGGUUUUAUUAAACUAAAAUAGGUGCAAGUCCAGUGUUCUUCUUUCGAAAGAUUUUUAAUAGCUUGGUUUGACAAGUGCAAGUCCAUAUUAACUUAGUCUUGUCUUCAUCAAAAUUAUAAUAAUAAUACUAUUAAAUUAGUCUUGUUAUUUUUAUUCCAGGUGUGUGUGCUUCAAGUUAAUAUAGUUGCACUUGCUUAUGAGGCUAGUGAUGAUGAAUUUUAUCUCAAGUAUAUCGUAUAAAUUAUCCCUCUAUUACAUUUUCUUAUGAGUUGCUAACUUAUGUUACUCUCCCAUUCAGUUGAUGCCAAGAAUAUAUUGUAUAUUUUGUCCCUCAAUUGUGAAUUGUGAAGAACACACUGAGUAAGGAGAUUUGUACAGGAUAUUACUGCGAUGCUAUUGCUAAACCGAUACUGAGGAAUGAGAGUAGGAUAGGAUUAUUGUAUAAUAUAAUACUUUGUAUAACCACUGUACAUAUACAUAUUACUAAUCAAAGUAGCAUUAUUAGAAUU